UACGUAGGGUGCGAGCGUUAAUCGGAAUUACUGGGCGUAAAGCGUGCGCAGGCGGCUUUGCGAGACAGAUGUGAAAUCCCCGGGCUCAACCUGGGAAUUGCGCUUGUGACUGCAAAGCUGGAGUGCGGCAGAGGGGGAUGGAAUUCCGCGUGUAGCAGUGAAAUGCGUAGAUAUGCGGAGGAACACCGAUGGCGAAGGCAAUCCCCUGGGCCUGCACUGACGCUCAUGCACGAAAGCGUGGGGAGCAAACAGG
Molecule: ribosomal RNA, 253 nt
Filed under: uncultured bacterium
Lineage: Bacteria
Description: partial 16S ribosomal RNA
Rfam family: Bacterial small subunit ribosomal RNA
Source: RNAcentral